CCGUGUUUAAACUCCGGUCCGGACGCCCCAUCGGCAGUUAAGCGGGGUGCGUCGACUACCCCACACAUCAGUCGAGAGGCAGCAGCGCACUGAACAAAAACACAUCUAUUCUCUAAUAGGAAAGUUUUCACUUUUCUUCUACAAGUAUCGGUCGCGAUGCAGAGUCGGGUGGUGACGCUCCUGCUGGUGACAGGAUCCGCAGUCUGUAUCCUCGCGCGGCCUCAGUUCGGACAGUUCGGAGGAUAUCGGCGAGGGAGCUCCGGAGCAGGAUACGGAGGAGCUAGUGUCGGUUCAUUCGCUGGAGAUGGAUAUGGAUUUGGCUACGGUAGCUCUAGGGACGGUGGAUAUGGCUAUGGCUACGGUGUUUCAACGUCGAACAAGCCAGGGGUUGGUGGUGGGUUUGGCUACGGGAGAUUUAAGCGGAACCCACAAGAAGGACCGUCAACAUCUAACAAACCCGGCUCUGGCUCCCAUGGAUCGACAUCAAACAAACCCGGUUUUGGCUCAGGUGAUUCGACAUCAAACAAACCCGGUUUUGGCUCAGGUGAUUCGACAUCAAACAAACCCGGUUUUGGCUCAGGUGAUUCGACAUCAAACAAACCCGGUUUUGGCUCAGGCGAUUCCACAUCAAACAAACCCGGUUUUGGCUCAGGCGAUUCCACAUCAAACAAACCCGGUUUUGGCUCAGGUGAUUCGACGUCAAACAAACCCGGUUUUGGCUCAGGUGAUUCGACGUCAAACAAACCCGGUUUUGGCUCAGGUGAUUCGACAUCAAACAAACCCGGUUUUGGCUCAGGUGAUUCGACAUCAAACAAACCCGGUUUUGGCUCAGGUGAUUCGACAUCAAACAAACCCGGCAGUGAUUUGGAUAUUUCAACAUCAAACAAACCCGACUCUGGCUUCAGUGGAUCCACGUCUAACAAGCCUGGGUCUGAUUCAAGCAUUUCUUCAUCGAAUAAGCCUGACUCUGGCUCUGGUGUCUCACUGUCUAACAAACCCGGCCAUAAUUCAGACUCCAAAUCUGGAUUUUGUGAUAUCUGCAGCGGUGGCUCGGGAGGAGUCCAAGUGGGGGGCAGUGGAGGAGCCACAGGGGGAGCUGGUGAUGGGGGCUCUUGGGGAGGACAAUUUGGAGGCAGUGGAGGAGCCACAGGGGGAGCUGGUGAUGGGGGCUCAUCGGGAGGACAAGUAGGGGGCAGUGGAGGAGCCACAGGGGGAGCUGGUGAUGGGGGUUCAUCGGGAGGACAAGUAGGGGGCAGUGGAGGGGCCACAGGAGGUGCUGGCGGUGGUAGCUCAGGAGGAUCUUGGUCAGGGAGUGGUUCUUGGGCCGGUUCAGGCAGCGGUUCCUGGAGCGGCUCAGCUGGAGGGUCCUGGGGCGGCAGUGGGGGAGCAGGAGGAGGAGGAGGUGGAGCGGUAGAGACGACUACGACGACCUCUCGCCCCACCAUUCCGUCGGUCACGCCCGUGUUGAUUUAAGCGUCCUCGCUGACCAAACACCAACGCGAGAACCUCCCGCUGUUCCCAAGACGGCGUCUCGGGUGCUUCAGUGGAGUUGCUUUGUUUAUUUAUGCCAUUUUGUAUUCAGAUGUGUAUUUAAUUUGUUUGUUUUCCUUAAUUAUGUAUUGACAUGUUUUGUACUUUCAAGCUGAUUUUAUCUUGAUUUGUUUUUUGUUUUUUUUUUAUUGGAAAUGUAAAAUCCCUUGUAAGGCUGAACAUGACUCGUGGUUGAGUUGGGAAAUAUUUACAAUAAACACUUCGCGAAAUCAGU
This 1765-nucleotide unclassified non-coding RNA is filed under the name Penaeus japonicus. Its description in RNAcentral is "putative per-hexamer repeat protein 5, transcript variant X3". Lineage: Eukaryota; Metazoa; Arthropoda; Malacostraca; Decapoda; Penaeidae. The record is from RNAcentral.